GCCUUCGUGGUGUAACGGUUAGCGCACUCGGCGCAUACUCGAGAGGUCCAGGUGCGAGUCCUGGCGAGGGCA
Stegodyphus mimosarum is the source of this 72-nucleotide non-coding RNA. The record is from Rfam. Lineage: Eukaryota; Metazoa; Arthropoda; Arachnida; Araneae; Eresidae.